RNAcentral lists this ribosomal RNA (505 nucleotides) under uncultured bacterium. RNAcentral's name for it is "partial 16S ribosomal RNA". It matches the Rfam family "Bacterial small subunit ribosomal RNA", at positions 28 to 507 of the family's 1533-position model. The record is from RNAcentral.
GACGAACGCUGGCGGCGUGCCUAAUACAUGCAAGUAGAACGCACAGUUUAUACCGUAGCUUGCUACACCAUAGACUGUGAGUUGCGAACGGGUGAGUAACGCGUAGGUAACCUGCCUGGUAGCGGGGGAUAACUAUUGGAAACGAUAGCUAAUACCGCAUAAUAUUCAUUAUUGCAUGAUAAUUAAUUGAAAGGUGCAAUUGCACCACUACCAGAUGGACCUGCGUUGUAUUAGCUAGUAGGUGAGGUAACGGCUCACCUGGGCGACGAUACAUAGCCGACCUGAGAGGGUGAUCGGCCACACUGGGACUGAGACACGGCCCAGACGCCUACGGGAGGCAGCAGUAGGGAAUCUUCGGCAAUGGACGAAAGGCUGACCGAGCAACGCCGCGUGAGUGAAGAAGGUUUUCGGAUCGUAAAGCUCUGUUGUAAGAGAAGAACGGGUGUGAGAGUGGAAAGUUCACACUGUGACGGUAUCUUACCAGAAAGGGACGGCUAACUACGUG